Molecule: long non-coding RNA, 3908 nt
Organism: Ornithorhynchus anatinus (platypus)
Lineage: Eukaryota; Metazoa; Chordata; Mammalia; Monotremata; Ornithorhynchidae
Exons: 6
Source: RefSeq, a predicted model, not a curated record
UGGCGGAGCCGGCAUCAGAACCCUGGUCCUCGUGAUUCUCGGGCCCACUAGGCCAUGCUGUUUCUAAAGGUAAAGAAAGAGGUCUAGUGGUAGAUGGGAACCUGGGAUGUUUGUGAGACUGCUGCCAGGUUUUUCUGGUUUAGACACUCAUACCUCAUCCAGUCCUGCACGCUCUCCCUGACACAACUUUGUCGUGAUCAGUCAAUCACUGGUGUCUAUCGAGUGCUUACUGUGUGCAGAGCACUGUAUGCAGAGGCUGUCCCUUUGGCAGUGCCCAACCAAGGGCAUUGGGUCCCCGGGCUAGAAGCAGCCCCACUGUGAGCGGGUGUCAGCGAGGGUUGUGGCACCGGCCACAGAAAUAAGCUUCCUAGCUUCACAUCGGUGUUUUUGCAGCAGCAGGAGACCACCACCGUUCUACCCGGUCACCUUCUCCGUGGUUCCAUUUCACGGUUGCCUAUUUACUCAAUCGCUAACAUCCUUUUCUACUGCGAAACAUUUCAUCCCCCUGGAACACAGCCAGAGUAAUGAAUAUUUUAAAGGUGAACCAAGCAGGAAGGCAUCAAGCCCCAUCUGUGCGAUGUCCCGAAACCCUGCAGUAGGCACCGACUUGUCACAAACAUGCACGGUCAACAUCCGCCUCACUCCGUUCCCGCCCGAGCCUCCGGCCUUCUCCCACUCGUCGCGACCCAUCCAACACACUGCGUAUGUGGUCUGCUCAGAGGCUCCCAUCUCCAGGCUCUGGGGCUAAUCGAUCAAUUGGGGGGUCUGUAAUGAGGGUCUACUGAAACCUCACUGGGGGUGGGGGAUGUGUCUCAGGCUUCUAGUCUUGCUUUCCCAAGCGCUUAGUACAGUGGAUGCAUUAGCACCAUUAGCACCCAGCAGGCAUGGCACUCCAAAAGAGCCCGCGCUAAGCACGGCAAAGAGCUUGGGAGAGGGCCAAAGAAGCUAGGAUGCACGUUCCCUGCUCUCCCAGGAGUUAUAAUCCAAUGAGGGACACAGACAUCACGUAUUUACAAAGAGUGGAAUGCUGGAGGAGGAAAAGUCGAUCAGCGGUACUCACUGAAGAUGUACCGCGUGCAGAGCACUGGGCCUAAUAGCGCUCGGGAGAGCAUAAUGCAAACAAAUUGGUGGCUCACCGAAAUUACACAUUCCCUACCCACCGGGAGCGUACAGUCUAGAGGGAUAGGAAGACGGCAGUAGUAAAAGUAGGUCAAGAAUGAAAAAGCUGGCUAAUUAAAUAUACAUGUCAACUAACAUUUUGGCAGGAAUCUUACCUUCUCUCCCAGACCGCAUUACCACGCUUGGUUGGAAUAACUGCAAUGGUAAGGCCCUCGGGACGCAACUGGAAAUGGGUCGUUUGGAUUUUUUGAAGGGGUUUGCUCUUGAAAAGGAAUGUUCCAAAUUCUAAAUAAAUGACCCCCAAUAACAUGGCAUGAGGAAAUGUCUGCCUGCCGUUUUGUAACUUUUUUUUUUUUUUACCAAUGUUCCAGUUUAGUCCUUUCUCACCCAUUACUAACAAGGGAUGUGUGUUUGCCCCACCUUUAUGGUACCGUAUUCAUUCAAUUUUUGAAGUGGAAUAAAAGAUUAUUCCUUGAAGCCUCUGACAGUUGGCCCCAGGGUCGGAAGAGAAAGGUCAGAAAGCCCCAGACAAGUUUGCCAGGGUGUUGAUUUACUGCACGCCUACUGAAGGCAGCAGAGGGGAGCUUUCAAAUCCAAAAUCUGAUUUUUCACUUUCCUCAGAUUCAGGUUAAUUGUCUACUCUCUCUAUUCCUUUUCGUUAGGUAUCCCUGGCCAUGGCAACCGACCCGCCGGCUGUGGACGAAGAAGGAAGCAGAUCCAAGUCAUACCCACUUUCUUCCAUUCCACAUCCGAGUUCCAUCAUUCAGCAGACACUAAAUGUGUACCACGGAUGACGAGGGAGAAGCUACCGUUGCCAUGUGGCCAUCACUUCUUUUUUUGGAUCACUUGGAAUCUCUGUGGGUCUGUCCACAGUGUUUUACAAGUUGCACAAAAUCCCUAAACCUCCAGGGGAGAAAACAAAGGAUCGUUAACCCAGCACAAUCACUCCAUAGUGUUUGAGUGUUUACUGAGCACAGAGCACUGUACUGAGCGCUUGGGCGACCCGCAGGCUGUUGAACGCCUCAACUUUCACUCUGACCAGAAGGACGGUUUUACAGCAAGAACUGUUUUUUGGCACAGUUGCCGGCAAGACGGUAAGUUUUACUAUCAGUUUUUACUUGACCCCUCUGGGUAAAGGCCCUUCUUGACCUGAGAGUUUAUCUUACUGCCAGCCGGUGUUUGGACCUCUUACCCUUGUCUAAUAAGGAGUUUUUAUAACUUGCCAAUUAGAUAACUCCUCAGCGGCCAAUGGGAAGGUUUAAUGAAUAAUUAAAUAGCUGCUAUCCUCCACACUUCACUUUUCCCCAGACAGGUCUCUUCCCUGUACUGCAUCUGUUCAGCCCCUUUAGUUUAAGAUUCUUCUGGUAUGUUUUUAACAAGAUUCCACCUGUAAUGGAUGUUGAGAAACUGUAAAAGUGAACCUAUAGCUCUUCUUUAAAAAAAAAACCCUGUGGUUUUGCAUUUUUGAAACAAAGGCAGCUUUUUACACUGUCCUUGGGGCAAAGGAAGCUUCAUCACCUUCUCCUUUGCCUGCCCAAUGUUUCACGUUCCUUAUUCUUUGCCCCACACCCCUCCCUUUCCCAUUUGCCUAUUCUCCCUCCCUCUCCUCCGAGGGGUCACUGCGCUAAAUGCAGUGGGAAGGAGGAAAAAAAACACCCUCCCAAAACAAUAGUUCCUUAGCCCUAUGCAUCACAGCAGGAGUGCCUACACCGCGAGAUUCCCCCAGGCCGUGGAGACUGUUAAUGAGAUCUGCUCUUUCCUAGGCUAGCCCGAUCGGUAUGUGCACGUAUCCUACUCACAGCCCUCCCUCCUUAACCGGUAAGAAAUAUUUGUUUAAGCUGUAAGAUGCAUCCACCGCAAACAGGUCUGUUUUCAAUUAGUGGCAAACGGAGCCUGGGAGAGAGUACUUUAACCAUCGAUAAUAUCGAUUCUGCACUCUUCUCGUCCCUUCCUAGGAACGGCAAGGCCUCGCAGAGGAAGAAGUCUCUCAGCGGAGGCAGAAGCGGGGCUCGUUCUUAGAAGACCGGGGGACAUCAUGAGAUUCUAAACGGCAUUAAAGGUGUGCUGAGAAGACGCCACAGGAAAGCCGAACGGCAGUCACCACCCGGGGAGGAGGAAAACCAGCCCUGCCCUUCAGCUAAGCAACCUGGGAGUGUUGUGAAUGCAAGACAGCGGGGCACGCGCUCUCAGCUCCCUCCAAGUCCCUUCACACACUUAAAUGUAGUAUUGCAGAGAGAUUCGAAAAAUGCCAUUCCUCCAGUCUGAGGUACUCACCGUCACCCAGGCACUACUGAAGCCCAAGUCCCUAAAAAUGACCGGCGGCAAAAUCAGACCUGUAAACUGCUUCUGACCGAGCAAGAGAUCAAAAAGUGGAGCACUGCGUUGGGAAGGGGAGGUGAAUUUCUGUAAGCCAGUGCCGCAACUUUUCCCUCACUGAAAUCGUGCAAGAUAGGAGGGAGAACUUAGUGAUGGCAUCGAUUCCGCCCCUAGACAACAGCUCAGCCUAGAAGAUAUUGCACCUAUAGUCCGAUUCUCCAGCUGCAGAUAGGGAAGUCAGACUAGACCGUCUCCCAGGAAAGCGCCCAGAGAUCGGCUCGGGCUGCUCGCUCCCUUCGGGAGAACGGUGAGGGUGCAUUUCCACCAGGAAGGCCCUCUGAAGCCACGGCAGUCCCCUACCUGAAGCUGCUCAUUCCUGGACCUGCCCUCGCAAGUGGACCUUCACAGCCAUGCUCGACUAACUGUGGUAUCUGUUAAGCGCUUACCGUGUGCCAAGCGCCCUACCGGGCGCU